GACGAACGCUGGCGGCGUGCUUAACACAUGCAAGUCGAGCGGUAAGGCCCUUUCGGGGGUACGACGAGCGGCGAACGGGUGAGUAACACGUGGGUGACCUGCCCUCAGCUCUGGGAGUAAGCCUGGGAAACCGGGUCUAAUACCGGAUAUGACUCCAUGACGCAUGUUGUGGGGUGGAAAGCCUUGUGCGGCUGAGGAUGGGCCCGCGGCCUAUCAGCUUGUUGGUGGGGUGAUGGCCUACCAAGGCGACGACGGGUAGCCGGCCUGAGAGGCGACCGGCCACACUGGGACUGAGACACGGCCCAGACUCCUACGGGAGGCAGCAGUGGGGAAUCUUGCGCAAUGGGCGAAAGCCUGACGCAGCGACGCCGCGUGAGGGAUGACGGCCU
This 389-nucleotide ribosomal RNA is filed under the name uncultured bacterium. Its description in RNAcentral is "bacterial SSU rRNA". It matches the Rfam family "Bacterial small subunit ribosomal RNA", at positions 28 to 417 of the family's 1533-position model. The record is from RNAcentral.